GACGAACGCUGGCGGCGUGCUUAACACAUGCAAGUCGAACGGUGAAGCUCCAGCUUGCUGGAGUGGAUCAGUGGCGAACGGGUGAGUAACACGUGAGCAACCUGCCCCUGACUCUGGAAUAAGCGCUGGAAACGGCGUCUAAUACUGGAUACGAGAAGGGUCCGCAUGGGCACUUUCUGGAAAGUUUUUCGGUUGGGGAUGGGCUCGCGGCCUAUCAGCUUGUUGGUGAGGUAAUGGCUCACCAAGGCGACGACGGGUAGCCGGCCUGAGAGGGCGACCGGCCACCCUGGGCCUAGCACGCGCCCCGGCCUCCGGCGGGGGCCGGCAGUGGAGAAUAUUGCACAAUGGGCAAAACCCUGAUCCAGCGACCCCGCGAGAGGGAUGGCGGCCUUCGGGUUUAAACCCUCUUCCAGCGGGAAAGAACAAAAGGUGACGUUCCCUAAAAAAAAAGCCCCGCCAAACUCCGUG
RNAcentral lists this ribosomal RNA (468 nucleotides) under uncultured bacterium. RNAcentral describes it as "partial 16S ribosomal RNA". It matches the Rfam family "Bacterial small subunit ribosomal RNA", at positions 28 to 507 of the family's 1533-position model. The record is from RNAcentral.